AUUGAACGCUGGCGGCAGGUCUAACACAUGCCAGUCGAGCGGAUGAAGGGAGCUUGCUCCUGGAUUCAGCGGCGGACGGGUGAGUAAUGCCUAGGAAUCUGCCUGGUAGUGGGGGAUAACGUCCGGAAACGGGCGCUAAUACCGCAUACGUCCUGAGGGAGAAAGUGGGGGAUCUUCGGACCUCACGCUAUCAGAUGAGCCUAGGUCGGAUUAGCUAGUUGGUGGGGUAAAGGCCUACCAAGGCGACGAUCCGUAACUGGUCUGAGAGGAUGAUCAGUCACACUGGAACUGAGACACGGUCCAGACUCCUACGGGAGGCAGCAGUGGGGAAUAUUGGACAAUGGGCGAAAGCCUGAUCCAGCCAUGCCGCGUGUGUGAAGAAGGUCUUCGGAUUGUAAAGCACUUUAAGUUGGGAGGAAGGGCAGUAAGUUAAUACCUUGCUGUUUUGACGUUACCAACAGAAUAAGCACCGGCUAACUUCGUG
This 484-nucleotide ribosomal RNA is filed under the name uncultured bacterium. RNAcentral's name for it is "partial 16S ribosomal RNA". It matches the Rfam family "Bacterial small subunit ribosomal RNA", at positions 30 to 507 of the family's 1533-position model. The record is from RNAcentral.